Molecule: ribosomal RNA, 512 nt
Filed under: uncultured bacterium
Lineage: Bacteria
Description: partial 16S ribosomal RNA
Rfam family: Bacterial small subunit ribosomal RNA
Source: RNAcentral
GAUGAACGCUGGCGGCGUACCUAAUACAUGCAAGUCGAACGAAACUUCUUUAUCACCGAGUGCUUGCACUCACCGAUAAAGAGUUGAGUGGCGAACGGGUGAGUAACACGUGGGCAACCUGCCCAAAAGAGGGGGAUAACACUUGGAAACAGGUGCUAAUACCGCAUAACCAUAGUUACCGCAUGGUAACUAUGUAAAAGGUGGCUAUACUACCGCUUUUGGAUGGGCCCGCGGCGCAUUAGCUAGUUGGUAGGGUAAAGGCUUACCAAGGCAAUGAUGCGUAGCCGAAUUGAGAGGUUGAUCGGCCACAUUGGGACUGAGACACGGCCCAAACUCCUACGGGAGGCAGCAGUAGGGAAUCUUCCACAAUGGGCGAAAGCCUGAUGGAGCAACGCCGCGUGGGUGAAGAAGGUCUUCGGAUCGUAAAACCCUGUUGUUAGAGAAGAAAGUGCGUGAGAGUAACUGUUCACGUUUCGACGGUAUCUAACCAGAAAGCCACGGCUAACUACGUG